This 224-nucleotide long non-coding RNA is filed under the name Mytilus galloprovincialis (Mediterranean mussel). Lineage: Eukaryota; Metazoa; Mollusca; Bivalvia; Mytilida; Mytilidae. The record is from RNAcentral.
GAGCGGCCUCAUGGGGUUUUUGAUUAUGUGAUUACUUGGCCGUUUUUUUAAUGAUUAUUUGAUUAUUAAGCCAAAUAUUUCAUGAUUCUUGAUUACCUAGGACUUGUAUUUUUAGUUUAUGAUUAUUUGAUUACUAAAAAUAAGCAAAUAUUUAAUGAUUAUGUGAUUAUAUUGGCAAAAAAAUGGUGAUUAUGUGUUAACUAGACCCCCCAUGAGGGGCCUCA